This 836-nucleotide ribosomal RNA is filed under the name uncultured bacterium. Its description in RNAcentral is "bacterial SSU rRNA". It matches the Rfam family "Bacterial small subunit ribosomal RNA", at positions 60 to 898 of the family's 1533-position model. The record is from RNAcentral.
AGUCGAGCGAGAUGUAUAUGGACGAAACUUCGGUCUAGGAAAUAUAUUCUCGGCGGACGGGUGAGUAACGCGUAGGCAACCUGCCCCAAACACAGGGAUAGCCUCGGGAAACCGGGAUUAAAACCUGAUAAUGCCAAAUAGUCACAUGGCUGUUUGGCCAAAGAUUUAUCGGUUUGGGAUGGGCCUGCGUCUGAUUAGUUUGUUGGUGGGGUAACGGCCUACCAAGACUACGAUCAGUAGCCGACCUGAGAGGGUGAUCGGCCACAUUGGAACUGAGACACGGUCCAAACUCCUACGGGAGGCAGCAGUGGGGAAUAUUGCACAAUGGGCGAAAGCCUGAUGCAGCAACGCCGCGUGAGCGAUGAAGGCCUUUGGGUCGUAAAGCUCUGUCCUUGGGGAAGAAACAAAUGACGGUACCCAAGGAGGAAGCCCCGGCUAACUACGUGCCAGCAGCCGCGGUAAUACGUAGGGGGCAAGCGUUAUCCGGAAUUAUUGGGCGUAAAGAGUACGUAGGUGGUCUUUUAAGCGCAGGGUUUAAGGCAAUGGCUUAACCAUUGUUCGCCCUGUGAACUGGAAGACUUGAGUGUAGGAGAGGAAAGUGGAAUUCCUAGUGUAGCGGUGAAAUGCGUAGAUAUUAGGAGGAACAUCAGUGGCGAAGGCGACUUUCUGGACUAUUACUGACACUGAGGUACGAAAGCGUGGGGAGCAAACAGGAUUAGAUACCCUGGUAGUCCACGCCGUAAACGAUGAGCACUAGGUGUCGGGGUCGCAAGACUUCGGUGCCGUAGUUAACGCAUUAAGUGCUCCGCCUGGGGAGUACGUUCGCAAAGAAUGAA